This 2775-nucleotide ribosomal RNA is filed under the name Escherichia albertii. RNAcentral's name for it is "bacterial LSU rRNA". It matches the Rfam family "Bacterial large subunit ribosomal RNA". Lineage: Bacteria; Pseudomonadati; Pseudomonadota; Gammaproteobacteria; Enterobacterales; Enterobacteriaceae. The record is from RNAcentral.
AGCGUACACGGUGGAUGCCCUGGCAGUCAGAGGCGAUGAAGGACGUGCUAAUCUGCGAUAAGCGUCGGUAAGGUGAUAUGAACCGUUAUAACCGGCGAUGUCCGAAUGGGGAAACCCAGUGUGUUUCGACACACUAUCAUUAACUGAAUCCAUAGGUUAAUGAGGCGAACCGGGGGAACUGAAACAUCUAAGUACCCCGAGGAAAAGAAAUCAACCGAGAUUCCCCCAGUAGCGGCGAGCGAACGGGGAGGAGCCCAGAGCCUGAAUCAGUGUGUGUGUUAGUGGAAGCGUCUGGAAAGGCGUGCGAUACAGGGUGACAGCCCCGUACACAAAAAUGCACAUGCUGUGAGCUCGAUGAGUAGGGCGGGACACGUGGUAUCCUGUCUGAAUAUGGGGGGACCAUCCUCCAAGGCUAAAUACUCCUGACUGACCGAUAGUGAACCAGUACCGUGAGGGAAAGGCGAAAAGAACCCCGGCGAGGGGAGUGAAAAAGAACCUGAAACCGUGUACGUACAAGCAGUGGGAGCCCUGAUUUAUCAGGGUGACUGCGUACCUUUUGUAUAAUGGGUCAGCGACUUAUAUUCUGUAGCAAGGUUAACCGAAUAGGGGAGCCGGAGGGAAACCGAGUCUUAACUGGGCGUUAAGUUGCAGGGUAUAGACCCGAAACCCGGUGAUCUAGCCAUGGGCAGGUUGAAGGUUGGGUAACACUAACUGGAGGACCGAACCGACUAAUGUUGAAAAAUUAGCGGAUGACUUGUGGCUGGGGGUGAAAGGCCAAUCAAACCGGGAGAUAGCUGGUUCUCCCCGAAAGCUAUUUAGGUAGCGCCUCGUGAAUUCAUCUCCGGGGGUAGAGCACUGUUUCGGCAAGGGGGUCAUCCCGACUUACCAACCCGAUGCAAACUGCGAAUACCGGAGAAUGUUAUCACGGGAGACACACGGCGGGUGCUAACGUCCGUCGUGAAGAGGGAAACAACCCAGACCGCCAGCUAAGGUCCCAAAGUCAUGGUUAAGUGGGAAACGAUGUGGGAAGGCCCAGACAGCCAGGAUGUUGGCUUAGAAGCAGCCAUCAUUUAAAGAAAGCGUAAUAGCUCACUGGUCGAGUCGGCCUGCGCGGAAGAUGUAACGGGGCUAAACCAUGCACCGAAGCUGCGGCAGCGACGCUGAUGCGUUGUUGGGUAGGGGAGCGUUCUGUAAGCCUGUGAAGGUGUGCUGUGAGGCAUGCUGGAGGUAUCAGAAGUGCGAAUGCUGACAUAAGUAACGAUAAAGCGGGUGAAAAGCCCGCUCGCCGGAAGACCAAGGGUUCCUGUCCAACGUUAAUCGGGGCAGGGUGAGUCGACCCCUAAGGCGAGGCCGAAAGGCGUAGUCGAUGGGAAACAGGUUAAUAUUCCUGUACUUGGUGUUACUGCGAAGGGGGGACGGAGAAGGCUAUGUUGGCCGGGCGACGGUUGUCCCGGUUUAAGCGUGUAGGCUGGUUUUCCAGGCAAAUCCGGAGAAUCAAGGCUGAGGCGUGAUGACGAGGCACUACGGUGCUGAAGCAACAAAUGCCCUGCUUCCAGGAAAAGCCUCUAAGCAUCAGGUAACAUCAAAUCGUACCCCAAACCGACACAGGUGGUCAGGUAGAGAAUACCAAGGCGCUUGAGAGAACUCGGGUGAAGGAACUAGGCAAAAUGGUGCCGUAACUUCGGGAGAAGGCACGCUGAUAUGUAGGUGAAGCGACUUGCUCGUGGAGCUGAAAUCAGUCGAAGAUACCAGCUGGCUGCAACUGUUUAUUAAAAACACAGCACUGUGCAAACACGAAAGUGGACGUAUACGGUGUGACGCCUGCCCGGUGCCGGAAGGUUAAUUGAUGGGGUCAGCGCAAGCGAAGCUCUUGAUCGAAGCCCCGGUAAACGGCGGCCGUAACUAUAACGGUCCUAAGGUAGCGAAAUUCCUUGUCGGGUAAGUUCCGACCUGCACGAAUGGCGUAAUGAUGGCCAGGCUGUCUCCACCCGAGACUCAGUGAAAUUGAACUCGCUGUGAAGAUGCAGUGUACCCGCGGCAAGACGGAAAGACCCCGUGAACCUUUACUAUAGCUUGACACUGAACACUGGUCCUUGAUGUGUAGGAUAGGUGGGAGGCUUUGAAGUGUGGACGCCAGUCUGCAUGGAGCCGUCCUUGAAAUACCACCCUUUAAUGGCUGGUGUUCUAACGUAGGCCCCUUAUCGGGGUUGCGGACAGUGUCUGGUGGGUAGUUUGACUGGGGCGGUCUCCUCCUAAAGAGUAACGGAGGAGCACGAAGGUUGGCUAAUCCUGGUCGGACAUCAGGAGGUUAGUGCAAUGGCAUAAGCCAGCUUGACUGCGAGCGUGACGGCGCGAGCAGGUGCGAAAGCAGGUCAUAGUGAUCCGGUGGUUCUGAAUGGAAGGGCCAUCGCUCAACGGAUAAAAGGUACUCCGGGGAUAACAGGCUGAUACCGCCCAAGAGUUCAUAUCGACGGCGGUGUUUGGCACCUCGAUGUCGGCUCAUCACAUCCUGGGGCUGAAGUAGGUCCCAAGGGUAUGGCUGUUCGCCAUUUAAAGUGGUACGCGAGCUGGGUUUAGAACGUCGUGAGACAGUUCGGUCCCUAUCUGCCGUGGGCGCUGGAGAACUGAGGGGGGCUGCUCCUAGUACGAGAGGACCGGAGUGGACGCAUCACUGGUGUUCGGGUUGUCAUGCCAAUGGCACUGCCCGGUAGCUAAAUGCGGAAGAGAUAAGUGCUGAAAGCAUCUAAGCACGAAACUUGCCCCGAGAUGAGUUCU